AUGAACGCUAGCGACAGGCCUAACACAUGCAAGUCAGGGGCAGCACAAGGAGCAAUCUGAGGUGGCGACCGGCGCACGGGUGAGUAACACGUAUGCAACCUGCCUGUAAGCGGGGAAUAACCCGUUGAAAGACGGACUAAUACCGCAUAAUACUAAAUUACUGCAUGGUAAUUUAUUUAAACAUUUAUGGCUUACAGAUGGGCAUGCGCAUGAUUAGCUAGUUGGAGAGGUAACGGCUCCCCAAGGCAACGAUCAUUAGGGGUUCUGAGAGGAAGGUCCCCCACACUGGUACUGAGACACGGACCAGACUCCUACGGGAGGCAGCAGUGAGGAAUAUUGGUCAAUGGACGAGAGUCUGAACCAGCCAAGUCGCGUGCAGGAAGAAUGUUCCCUAUGGAUUGUAAACUGCUUUUGCAGGGGAAUAAAGUGCAUCACGUGUGAUGUUUUGUAUGUACUCUGCGAAUAAGGAUCGGCUAACUCCGUGCCAGCCGCGGC
RNAcentral lists this ribosomal RNA (495 nucleotides) under uncultured bacterium. RNAcentral describes it as "bacterial SSU rRNA". It matches the Rfam family "Bacterial small subunit ribosomal RNA", at positions 29 to 518 of the family's 1533-position model. The record is from RNAcentral.